This is a long non-coding RNA of Gadus morhua (Atlantic cod), 743 nucleotides long. The record is from Ensembl. NCBI's taxonomy places the organism in Eukaryota, Metazoa, Chordata, Actinopteri, Gadiformes, Gadidae.
GUGAGUUUUAUUCGGUAUUGAAAACACCGUUUCCCACCCGCGUGUAGCUGCUCUUGUGCACCACAGCAUGUAAAAGAAUAAAUCGGAAAGCGUCCUUAAAUGCGACAAACUAAGUGAAAAACCUUUUUACACAUGCUUUAAAAUAAAAGCGUCGCUAAGGUUAUAUACUUUUUUCCUCCUUGCCUUUUCAAUCUCUCGCAUAUGCAUCAGAUAUCUACUUUAAUGCAGCGAGACUAGUGGGUGAGCUGCGGGGUGGACGGCUCCGUGGGCCGGUCCUAACCCCACCCAGAGCUCAUUGGAACGUUCCCCGAUCCAGCCACGUUGAUCACCCGCACCUGACAGUCAUCUGCAAUCAGGAUCACCAGGAUAUCUACCCCAGCCUUCCAACCAUUCGUCGCCAGAUCGUCAGUUGUACUUAUCCUUCACCAUCACAACCAUACCACAACCCUGCUUUACUGCCGGAUUACCAUCUCCGUCGAAUCGUUGUGCGUGACUGUCGGUUCGCCUGCCAGCCGACCCAUCCAACCCCGAUUCGGACCCCCCGGCCCGUGGUUUCAGGAUUACCCCUAACGGACGCAACCUUCUGCACUAACCUUCAUCCACCGUGGACUAAAAAACUGUUCUACUGAUUCCGCUCUCGUCUGUGGUCCUUUGUGCCGUGCGUUUGGGUCCACCCUGUCUUGAGCCGUAACAGAGGGAACUAUAAGGCCUGUUGGAGGGCAGGGGUCUGCCGCCCGAUUCCU